CCUACGGGCGGCUGCAGUGAGGAAUAUUGGUCAAUGGGCGCGAGCCUGAACCAGCCAAGUCGCGUGAGGGAAGAAGGCCCUACGGGUUGUAAACCUCUUUUGCCGGGGAGCAACGGGCGCCACGUGUGGCGCCACUGAGAGUACCCGGAGAAAAAGCAUCGGCUAACUCCGUGCCAGCAGCCGCGGUGAUACGGUGGAUGCGAGAGGUAUCCGGAUGUAUUGGGUGUAAAGGGUGCGUAGGCGGAGCGUUAAGUCAGUGGUCAAAUUGAGGGGCUCAACCCCUUCCCGCCAUUGAAACUGGCGCUCUUGAGUGGAAGAGAAGUAUGCGGAAUGCGUGGUGUAGCGGUGAAAUGCAUAGAUAUCACGCAGAACCCCGAUUGCGAAGGCAGCAUGCCGGCUUCCGACUGACGCUGAAGCACGAAAGCGUGGGGAUCGAACAGGAUUAGAUACCCGGGUAGUC
RNAcentral lists this ribosomal RNA (460 nucleotides) under uncultured bacterium. RNAcentral describes it as "partial 16S ribosomal RNA". It matches the Rfam family "Bacterial small subunit ribosomal RNA", at positions 338 to 795 of the family's 1533-position model. The record is from RNAcentral.